RNAcentral lists this long non-coding RNA (967 nucleotides) under Daphnia pulex (common water flea). Its description in RNAcentral is "uncharacterized LOC124207959, transcript variant X2". Lineage: Eukaryota; Metazoa; Arthropoda; Branchiopoda; Diplostraca; Daphniidae. The record is from RNAcentral.
UCGUGAACGUCUUUUCCUUGUUUAACUUUUGAGAUUGCCAGUUAAUACUAGAAAUUAGAGAUAAUAACCUACAAGGGAUAGUUUUGCACUUCACAACCGACGUUCUACUAUUUUGGCAAGCUAAAAACACACACUUGAGCCGCCCGAGGAGGAACUCUAUAAAGGAAGGAAGGAAAAUAACACCUGGUAAUGAGCGGGGAGAAGCGUGAGGCACGCCCCAUCAUCAUCAGCCAAGAAAAAAAGGAACAUGACGGGCUGCAGCAACCGCCAGCACAGGACCGAGACGGUACAUCCGCAGCAACAACAACAACAACGUUGUCGUCUAUGUUGAGAAACUGCCUCUGGGCGGCACACAAUCCUCCAUGUAGGCCUCUCUUCUUUUCGUGAUAAGAAAUUGUGGGAUGUAUACCGCCGUCCUCUUGUACAUUUUCUUCGGUCAUUCUCUUACAUAUCCAUUCCAUCCGGAAAUGGCGGCCAGUUGUGUUAGGGAGGGAGGCCAUAAGUUCUCGCGUCCGUCCUCCAUCUUCCGUGUCCCUUUUUUUCUUCGUUUACGUAACUGGGAAUCACGCUCCUGGCUCAUCGUCCAGUUACUUCAACUUGGCGGUUUCAAGCGCAGCUCUCUCUCACACACAACUCGGAGAGAGAGAGAGAAGGAGAGGAUGUGAGAAAUUGGACGGCUGCAACUGCUGCAGCACGGAAGAAAAACUCUUGACCAAAAGUGAUCGUGAUUCCGGUGCGGCUGCCGCCGCCGAGAGCGGGCCGGGAGGACAUACGCACACAACCCGACACGAAUCGGAUGUCUAUGAGAUUCUUUAUGUUAUUUUUUCUUCUUCUUAGCUUCUUCUUUCAGUUCUCCCAUAUAACUUUAAUAAUAUAGUUCCCACACACACACACACAAAACGGACGGACGGACCCGUUACGGCUCAUCGGACAAAACGGGCUCGUGUGUGUGUAGGCGUUCGCUGUU